Molecule: long non-coding RNA, 1033 nt
Filed under: Heterocephalus glaber (naked mole-rat)
Lineage: Eukaryota; Metazoa; Chordata; Mammalia; Rodentia; Bathyergidae
Description: lncRNA (ENSHGLG00000040190.1)
Source: RNAcentral
GGGGAGAGAUGGUGGACGAGCGGGGUGCAGAGCGAUGGAGGAUGCUGGGGGAGGGAGGGGUACAGGGGAGGGAGGAUGCAGGAGAGACAGGUGCGGGAGGAGGGAGGGUGCAGGGGGAGGGAGGGUUGCAGGAUGCGGAGGGGGGGAGGGAGGGUAGAGGGCAGGAUGCGAUGCAGGGAGAUCUGGAGCCAACAGACGGACAGAGGUGGAGACAGGCGCAGAGGAGACUAAGAGAGCAGGAGAGACGCUGACCACCGGGGGCUCGGGCAGGGCAGUAGAGAGCUGGAGGGACAGAGCCAGGACAUCAAUGGGGGCCGUGGGAGCCAGGCCGCAGGGACACAGGGGAGCAAACCUGGAGAACAUGGCGUGCAAGAGAGCCGCAGAGACUGCUGGAUGCAGACGGGACUGGCAGGGAGCGGGGUGCACACGUGCGGAGGGACUGGGGGACCUGCGGAGACAUCGGAGAGGUGCAGGCAGAGAAGGGGAAGAAUUCAGAAUUGCCGACCCAGGACUCAUGCCUGUCCACGUUCCCCAGGCUCACUUGCCCAGGUCUCCUGGGGCUGGGGGAACUGGGAUUCUCCCCCUGCUUGCACAGAGAAACCUCCGGAGUUCCCUGAGACCUUGUCUAUCCCCUUAGACCCUCAUGUGUUCUGUGCUUGUCCCAGGCCCUGAAAUCUUUGUGCAGUUUCCGGUGUGAGCCAUGAGUCCUCACCAGCACGUCCCAUGUGCUGAACCAUGCAGAUGCCCACAUUCGAAUUCCCCCAACUUUGCUGUUGUGAUUAUGGAGCAUCCUGAUUUCCGGUGGGCCCAAUGUCACUCUACGGUCCUUGCAGGAGGCACGAAGGAGGCCCAGAGUCACGGUCACAGGAGGUGAGGCCAUGUGGCUGUACACUGAGGAACCAGGGCAGCUUCCGACCAGCCGGAACAGGCAGAGAGAACACAUUCUCUCCAGCAGCCUCAGAAGGAACUUCGUUUUGGACUUUCGUUCUCCAGCACUGCCAGAUAAUAAAUGUGUGUUGUUUUAAGCCGCCAA